Molecule: long non-coding RNA, 1541 nt
Organism: Diprion similis
Lineage: Eukaryota; Metazoa; Arthropoda; Insecta; Hymenoptera; Diprionidae
Exons: 2
Source: RefSeq, a predicted model, not a curated record
UAUUGGAAUAUAACAGUGUCGUGUUAAUCAGACCUCGUCAAUUGCGACUAGGUUGUAAAUAUCGAGAUAGCUGUUUGGCGACUUUAUUGUUUGAACUUGACAAGGCAAAUUUGUACGAUUGGUCGAGUCUUCAAACAGAAUAUGCGAUACAGAGCCUUAUAGCCAAUGGGCUUUCGAGGACAGAUGGUUGCGCGGGAGCUAAACGAAUGCGACGAUUUUAGGACGUUUACGGUGCUGAGACGGUUGCGGAGGCGUUCAAUGAAUUCACUGUAAGAUAUCGAAGGGAGACAUAACUGAGUUUGGUAAUAAGCGAGGUACGAAGCACUGUUGUCAAGGGGGAUUGAUGGGUUGGCAGUCCUCCGUGAGCGAUCGAGGCGCCUUUCGUCAUCCAGCGGACGUCUCGUCAACUAAUCAGCAUGGAUCGCGCUCCAUGUUCGGCCGAGGAAGCAAUGCGGUGUCCCCGCGGAUAGGGCGUGCAGUUCUCGUGUUGUACCUCGCCGUUUUUUUUCGUGAUCAGUGAACGUGUUACGAAUCGACUGGUGCCACUGGGACAACAAUAUACCGCUGAAUCUCGGUCGGAUCGUCGAGUGUUUACGAGUGAUUUGGUGAAUUUUGUGGAUCGUGGUUGCACGACGCGAAUGAGGUGAAUGCUCGGCGGCAGUGGUGCUGUAGAGAAAACCGCCAAAAUUAUCAUUUACUUCUGUUCAAUUUCUCAUUCUAAUAACGGCAUCGAGCUGUUGUUGGUGUAUUUGUGAUUUGUAUGUGCCAGUGCGCGGUCCCGGAGGUGUUCCAGGCAUUUGUUAUUAUUUUGCUGCGGUGCUUUUGACCCGAAAGCGGGCGAGUUCACUCGAGCCUGUCUAGAGGGGUGUCCGGUGCCUCGUCUGCAACGGCUGCCCGUGGCACGCAACUCCGAUAUUCCCUGGCAACGCUCGACACCUUGGAUCUCCUCUGCUCGAAUAUCUCGACUCUUCUACGUACUGGAAAUCACGUGGGUGUUGUUGGCCUGGCUUCAGAAGAAUUAUGUAAAUACGAAGACAAUUAUAUGCCGAAAAGAAAAGUGAAUCAACGCUGCUAAUUUUUGAUGACAUCGUCUCGCAUAUAACAGCUACGAACUGCAAUCGUUGUAACAUUGCCGGAAAAGGUUGAAAUUAUUGAAACUCUCCUCGAAAGAAGCAAAGGUAAAAAAAAAAAAAAAAACACGAAUAAGAAUACGGAGAAGAAGAAGUAACGAAAAAAGAAAUAAAACAAAAUAAAAUACCUGUUCAACUAAUCAUUUAUAGUAUAAAAAAAAAGUGCAACAAAACAAACAAACAAACAAACAAAAACCGACUGAAGUCUUAACCUUGACUUAAAUAAAUAGCAACAAAUCACCGCCAAAGUAGUGUUUAAAAAAAAAAAAAAACAAGAAAGAAGAAACUAUUAUAAAGAAAAAGACAACCGUUAGUGUAUAUAAGAGCUAUUUUUCCUACGCAACAGAAACAAAACAAAACAUAUUUCUCUAACUUUCGGGUAAAUUUAUAAUUAUACACUCUCGAUAGCCG